RNAcentral lists this ribosomal RNA (369 nucleotides) under uncultured Psychrobacter sp. Its description in RNAcentral is "bacterial SSU rRNA". It matches the Rfam family "Bacterial small subunit ribosomal RNA", at positions 449 to 813 of the family's 1533-position model. The record is from RNAcentral. Lineage: Bacteria; Pseudomonadati; Pseudomonadota; Gammaproteobacteria; Moraxellales; Moraxellaceae.
CUCUUCGGUUAGUACCCGGAGACGAUGACAUUAGCUGCAGAAUAAGCACCGGCUAACUCUGUGCCAGCAGCCGCGGUAAUACAGAGGGUGCAAGCGUUAAUCGGAAUUACUGGGCGUAAAGCGAGCGUAGGUGGCUUGAUAAGUCAGAUGUGAGAUCCCCGGGCUUAACCUGGGAACUGCAUCUGAAACUGUUAGGCUAGAGUAGGUGAGAGGGAAGUAGAAUUUCAGGUGUAGCGGUGAAAUGCGUAGAGAUCUGAAGGAAUACCGAUGGCGAAGGCAGCUUCCUGGCAUCAUACUGACACUGAGGCUCGAAAGCGUGGGUAGCAAACAGGAUUAGAUACCCUGGUAGUCCACGCCGUAAACGAUGUC